CCAGAAUCAGGCUGCAAAUGCCAAAGCAAGAGAUGUCAGCAAUGAGUUGCAGGUCUUUGCCAAACAGAGCAUCAUCUGGCAGUGAAAGGAGAGCAGAAGAGGGGAUUUUGAAGUGCUUCCUGCACACUUCCGACAACUUGAUUGAACUGGACGCCCUUGGAAGUUCAUGGCAUCGCCUAUAACAGAGUCUGUGUAGGCAAAACCCCAGCCUAUGCUGGAAUUUAACUCUUAAAAAGCAACCUAAGUAGAACACAAGAUUGUAAACUCUAAGGAGAUUCUAACACCAAAAGAAAGUAUGACUUGAGCCAAUGAAAUGCCAAAAUCCAGUUCUAGCUGACAACGUCAGUAGUGGAGGACAGACUUCCACUUGCCAUUUGAGGAAAAAGCAUGUGGAUUCAUGAGCAUAACAGCAGAUACCCCACUACCAAUUACCAAAUCCUGUGCACAUUCCUGUUCUCCAGUCACCUUUUCUCCAUAAAUGUUUGUGGUAUAAAAUGAAAACCUUCCCAAAUAUUAACCAGUCAAC
RNAcentral lists this long non-coding RNA (526 nucleotides) under Homo sapiens (human). RNAcentral describes it as "HSALNT0150759". Lineage: Eukaryota; Metazoa; Chordata; Mammalia; Primates; Hominidae. The record is from RNAcentral.